UACGUAGGGGGCUAGCGUUGUCCGGAAUCAUUGGGCGUAAAGGGGGCGUAGGCGGCGCGGUAAGUCGGGUGUGAAAUCUCGGGGCUUAACUCCGAAACUGCAUUCGAUACUGCCGUGCUUGAGGACUGGAGAGGAGACUGGAAUUUACGGUGUAGCGGUGAAAUGCGUAGAUAUCGUAAGGAAGACCAGUGGCGAAGGCGGGUCUCUGGACAGUUCCUGACGCUGAGGCACGAAGGUCAGGGGAGCAAACGGG
This 253-nucleotide ribosomal RNA is filed under the name uncultured bacterium. RNAcentral's name for it is "partial 16S ribosomal RNA". It matches the Rfam family "Bacterial small subunit ribosomal RNA", at positions 524 to 776 of the family's 1533-position model. The record is from RNAcentral.